GAUGAAGAACGUAGCGAAAUGCGAUAAGUAGUGUGAAUUGCAGAAUUCAGUGAAUCAUCGAAUCUUUGAACGCACAUUGCGCCCCUUGGUAUCCCGAGGGGCAUGCCUGUUCGAGCGUCAUUUCACCACUCAAGCCUGGUUUGGUGUUGGGCGACGUCCUCUUUGGGGACGCGCCUCGAAACGCUCGGCGGCGUGGCACCGGCUUUAAGCGUAGCAGAAUCUUUCGCUUUGGAAGUCGGGGCCCCGUCUGCCGGAAGACCUGCUCGCAAGGUUGACCUCGGAUCAGGCAGGGAUACCCGCUGAACUUAAGCAUAUCAAUAAGCGGAGGA
This 329-nucleotide unclassified non-coding RNA is filed under the name soil metagenome. RNAcentral describes it as "partial contains 5.8S ribosomal RNA, internal transcribed spacer 2, and large subunit ribosomal RNA". The stretch from base 1 to 120 matches the Rfam family "5.8S ribosomal RNA", at positions 35 to 154 of the family's 154-position model. The record is from RNAcentral.